Molecule: unclassified non-coding RNA, 410 nt
Filed under: soil metagenome
Description: partial contains 5.8S ribosomal RNA, internal transcribed spacer 2, and large subunit ribosomal RNA
Rfam family: 5.8S ribosomal RNA (bases 1-116)
Source: RNAcentral
GAUGAAGAACGUAGCGAAAUGCGAUAAGUAAUGUGAAUUGCAGAAUCUCGUGAAUCAUCUAAUCUUUGAACGCACAUUGCACUCUAGCUUGCUAGAGUAUGCCUGUUUGAGAAUCUAAUGUAUUCAUUUUCCUUUAUUGGUGAGUUUUCGGACUCAUUUCUAAAGGAAAGAUAUGGGGCAGCUUCUCAAGUGCUCUGAAAUUCAUUAGUCUAGUCCCACCUGCGUGAUGACGGCCUGCAAGGCUGCCAAAAGGUAUAUGUAUGGAACCUUGGUUUCUCAUUGUGCUUAGUAGGCAACAGUAGCGCCCAGCGUAGCAAAGACUAGAUCCAACUAUAAGACGAAAGUCUGAACCAUGGUCUCAAAUCAGGUAGGACUACCCGCUGAACUUAAGCAUAUCAAUAAGCGGAGGA